UGGCUCAAAUGGUAAAGCACCUGUCUGUAAUGCAGGAGACCUGGGUUCAAUCCCUG
Non-coding RNA from Ovis aries (sheep), 56 nucleotides. NCBI's taxonomy places the organism in Eukaryota, Metazoa, Chordata, Mammalia, Artiodactyla, Bovidae. The record is from Rfam.